Molecule: long non-coding RNA, 554 nt
Organism: Fukomys damarensis (Damara mole-rat)
Lineage: Eukaryota; Metazoa; Chordata; Mammalia; Rodentia; Bathyergidae
Exons: 3
Source: RefSeq, a predicted model, not a curated record
GCAGCCCCCAGCGCAGGGCAGCUGGAGGGGAGCUCCGCCCAAUUGCCUGGGCGACGGACGCUGAUGCCACUGCCCUGCGCUGCGGCGCCAUCUGCAGUUGCAGUCUCGCGUGGCUGAGGGGCCUGAGCCGUGAGGCCACCGGAGAGUUGCACCAGCAUGGUUGAGGCACGGAAGGCCGAGAUGGUUUUGGAGUGGCUCGUUUGAACCGCUGCCUACUCGGCUUCAGAGAGAGACAGAUGUUGCAGACUCUGAGGGGUUUUUGGCCAAGAAGGGAGGCAAAUAGGAACAUGCCACGAAGGAGAAAUUCUCCCUCUCCAUCAAAUCUUGACUUAAAAACAUCUUGGAGGAUCCAGAACCUGGAACAUAUUUGAGGUUUUGAAAGCAAGAACACAGCUGAUAUGAAAAUGUUGAUGCUCAUUCUAACACAUUAAGAAUUUUAUACUUUAUUGAUAUUUUAUGUUCCUAUUAAUUACACAUUGUGUAAUAUAAUAAGAACCACCUGACAAAACAGCAAGACAAGCAAGAUGUCAAGUAUGUCCUACAAAAAGGCCAGA